GUGCGCUUCAGCAGCACCUAUACUAAAACAGGAACGAUACAGAGAUUAGCGUGGCCCCUGCGCAAGGACGAUGUGGAAAUUCGUAAAGCGUUCCAUAUUUUU
Molecule: small nuclear RNA, 102 nt
Organism: Leptonychotes weddellii (Weddell seal)
Lineage: Eukaryota; Metazoa; Chordata; Mammalia; Carnivora; Phocidae
Source: RefSeq, a predicted model, not a curated record